This 468-nucleotide ribosomal RNA is filed under the name uncultured bacterium. RNAcentral describes it as "partial 16S ribosomal RNA". It matches the Rfam family "Bacterial small subunit ribosomal RNA", at positions 28 to 507 of the family's 1533-position model. The record is from RNAcentral.
GACGAACGCUGGCGGCGUGCUUAACACAUGCAAGUCGAACGGAAAGGCCCUGCUUUUGUGGGGUGCUCGAGUGGCGAACGGGUGUGUAACACGUGAGUAACCUGCCCUUGACUUUGGGAUAACUUCAGGAAACUGGGGCUAAUACCGGAUAGGAGCUCCUGCUGCAUGGUGGGGGUUGGAAAGUUUCGGCGGUUGGGGAUGGACUCGCGGCUUAUCAGCUUGUUGGUGGGGUAGUGGCUUACCAAGGCUUUGACGGGUAGCCGGCCUGAGAGGGUGACCGGCCACAUUGGGACUGAGAUACGGCCCAGACUCCUACGGGAGGCAGCAGUGGAGAAUAGUGCACAAUGGGCGGAAGCCUGAUGCAGCAACGCCGCGUGCGGGAUGACGGCCUUCGGGUUGUAAACCGCUUUCGCCUGUGACGAAGCGUGAGUGACGGUAAUGGGUAAAGAAGCACCGGCUAACUACGUG